UGGAGAGUUUGAUCCUGGCUCAGGACGAACGCUGGCGGCGUGCCUAACACAUGCAAGUCGAGCGAAGGGAGUACUACGGUACGAACUUAGCGGCGGACGGGUGAGUAACGCGUGGACAAUCUGCCCUGUAGACUGGGAUAACACCUCGAAAGGGGUGCUAAUACCGGAUAAUGUCGAGAAGCGGCAUCGCUUUUCGAAGAAAGGAGAAAUCCGCUAUAGGAUGAGUCCGCGUCCCAUUAGCUAGUUGGUGGGGGUAAGGGCCCACCAAGGCGACGAUGGGUAGCCGGCCUGAGAGGGUGAACGGCCACACUGGAACUGAGACACGGUCCAGACUCCUACGGGAGGCAGCAGUGGGGAAUAUUGUGCAAUGGGGGAAACCCUGACACAGCGACGCCGCGUGAGUGAAGAAGGCCUUCGGGUCGUAAAGCUCAAUAGUAUGGGAAGAUAAUGACGGUACCAUACGAAAGCCCCGGCUAACUACGUGCCAGCAGCCGCGGUA
Molecule: ribosomal RNA, 499 nt
Filed under: Clostridium sp. C-4
Lineage: Bacteria; Bacillati; Bacillota; Clostridia; Eubacteriales; Clostridiaceae
Description: bacterial SSU rRNA
Rfam family: Bacterial small subunit ribosomal RNA
Source: RNAcentral